RNAcentral lists this ribosomal RNA (253 nucleotides) under uncultured bacterium. RNAcentral's name for it is "partial 16S ribosomal RNA". It matches the Rfam family "Bacterial small subunit ribosomal RNA", at positions 524 to 776 of the family's 1533-position model. The record is from RNAcentral.
UACAGAGGGUGCGAGCGUUAAUCGGAAUUACUGGGCGUAAAGCGCACGUAGGCGGCUCGGUAUGUCGGGUGUGAAAUCCCCGGGCUCAACCUGGGAACUGCAUCCGAAACUGCCUUGCUCGAGUAUGGGAGAGGGAAGUGGAAUUUCCGGUGUAGCGGUGAAAUGCGUGGAUAUCGGAAGGAACAUCAGUGGCGAAGGCGACUUCCUGGACCAAUACUGACGCUCAGGUGCGAAAGCGUGGGGAGCAAACAGG